Long non-coding RNA from Equus asinus (donkey), 1637 nucleotides. NCBI's taxonomy places the organism in Eukaryota, Metazoa, Chordata, Mammalia, Perissodactyla, Equidae. The record is from Ensembl.
AUCCAUGGAUUCCAUGUCUUGGGAUGGAAAAAAGUUUGCAUGGAUUUUGAGUUACAUUGACUGCCAGAAGACAAGAAAACUUUAAAAAAUAUCUAGGGUCAUACUGAAAAGACAAAAGAGAUAGUUUUUAAAAACUUCUACUUGCCAAGUUAUAACAGUUUGAAUAUCAAAACAGAAUAUUAACCAUAGCUAAUUGGAAUGAAUUGAAUCUAUAUGAAAGUUAUGGCAUUCCAAGACAAAAUAAGUUCAUUAAAGAUGAUAAUUAUGAUACAAAAGAAGAAUGAAUACAAUUUUUAAGUUAACCAAAAUUAGUAGCGGACUAUUGACAUAUAUGAUGUUCUGUUUUUCAGAUGCAUGUGUGUAUUUUUUUACCUACCUCUGUGCAUAAUGGAGAGGGAUGGGCAAAAUAGUUCUCAAAGGGGAUGGGAAUUGCACAAAGAGCAGAAGGGCCUAUAACCUCAAUGGACCAUGGACAAGAACUAGGUGGAAAGCAUGGCAGUGGGUUGCCAUAUGAUGGAUUGUUCAAAAUUUAGAAAGAAGAGCUGAUAGUUCAACUUAGCUUCUUGUCUCCUAGAAAAUGAAACCUCUAGAUGACUCAACUGAUUUUACUGAGAUACAAAAACUAUAUAAUGAGUUAAAUUGUAAAUCAAAGCUACACAUCCUCCAUUAGUUUGCUAGGGCUGUUGUAACACAGCACCACAGACUUAAACAGAAAUUUAUUUUCUCACAGUCUAGAAGCUAAAAGUCUGAGAUCAAGGUGUCAGCAGUUUCUUUCUGAAGGCUGAGAGGGAGAAUCUGUUUCCUGGCCUUUCCACUCGGCUUAUAGAUACCAUCUUCUCCCUGUGUCUUCACAUUAUCUUCCCUCUGUAUGUGUCUAUGUCCCAAUUUCCUCUUCUUGUAAGGACACCAGUCAUAUUGGAUUAGGGUGCACCCUAAUGACCUCACUUUCAUUUAAUUACCUCUUUAAAGAUUCUGACUCCAAAUACAGUUAUAUUCUGAGGAACUAUGGGUUAGGACUUCAAGCUAUGAAUCUUUGGAAGGACAGAAUUCAGCCUAUAACAUGUCCCAUGACAUGGAUGUGACGAAAGAAGACAGCAGAGGCACCAAGUUGCAGGAAAAGGCAUGGCUGUGGACGUUCUCGUUGACACAAGGAGUCAAUCUUGAUUCUAAGAGGAGCCCAGAUGAUGUCAAGGUUCAUGUGGAAGAUGGGCUCAUAGAUCCAUGCAGAGUCAUCUGAGUCUGCACUGGUAUUAGCCAAUGACUAGUCUGGUAUGCACUCUGAACCGAAGACUGCCCUGGGGUCAGCAUCUGGACUGCCAUGACUGGAGUUCAAGGUCCUGGCUUUUCUGCUGAGGGACCAGAGUUCUCACACACUGUGUCUUCUUUCAAGUCAUGACUCUGAAAAUAAAAGAGCCAUCUGAGAAAUACUAAGAAGAAGACAUUCACAGAGUGUUCUGGAUCUUUUAUCCAAACCUGGGGACUGAGUGGGAGAGAAUGGAGCUUCGUAGAGCUUGAAGAAGGAGAAAGGUUGGGCUCAGGAAGCAAGAGUUACUUUCCCAGGAUCACACAGCAUGUACAUGGCUAAACGGGAAUUGAUAGCCCGCUCAUGUUCCUCCAGGACCAGGGCCUGUAAUCAG